RNAcentral lists this ribosomal RNA (507 nucleotides) under Salmonella enterica subsp. enterica serovar Infantis. RNAcentral's name for it is "partial 23S ribosomal RNA". It matches the Rfam family "Bacterial large subunit ribosomal RNA", at positions 2146 to 2652 of the family's 2925-position model. Lineage: Bacteria; Pseudomonadati; Pseudomonadota; Gammaproteobacteria; Enterobacterales; Enterobacteriaceae. The record is from RNAcentral.
GGUGGGAGGCUUUGAAGCGUGGACGCCAGUCUGCGUGGAGCCGACCUUGAAAUACCACCCUUUAAUGUUUGAUGUUCUAACGUGGAUCCGUAAUCCGGGUUGCGGACAGUGUCUGGUGGGUAGUUUGACUGGGGCGGUCUCCUCCUAAAGAGUAACGGAGGAGCACGAAGGUUGGCUAAUCCUGGUCGGACAUCAGGAGGUUAGUGCAAUGGCAUAAGCCAGCUUGACUGCGAGCGUGACGGCGCGAGCAGGUGCGAAAGCAGGUCAUAGUGAUCCGGUGGUUCUGAAUGGAAGGGCCAUCGCUCAACGGAUAAAAGGUACUCCGGGGAUAACAGGCUGAUACCGCCCAAGAGUUCAUAUCGACGGCGGUGUUUGGCACCUCGAUGUCGGCUCAUCACAUCCUGGGGCUGAAGUAGGUCCCAAGGGUAUGGCUGUUCGCCAUUUAAAGUGGUACGCGAGCUGGGUUUAGAACGUCGUGAGACAGUUCGGUCCCUAUCUGCCGUGGGC